ACACACACCAGCUGAAACAGGAGAAGGAAGCAGAAAAAAUCGAGAAAGAAAGAAAAGAGAAAGGAAAGAGAGAAAGAAGAAAUGAAAGAAAGGAAAAAAAAAAAGGAAAAAAAAAGUAGGGUUGGCUAUUCCAAUUUCAUCUUCAAUUUGACAAAUUUCUUGGUAUGUUUUAUGCUUAAUUUUUUUAGGGUUGCAAUUUAUUGGUUUAAUUUCCAGAUUGAAGGAAAGGAUAUGUUUGCAAGCCAAUAUUUUUGAAUUGGAAAGGCUACUUAUAUUAAGGUAUGAAAUACCAAUUUUGGAAAAAAACCUUGAAUUUUUAUUUGGGUUUUUGAAUUAAUAUAGUUAUCAGGAAUAAUUGUAGAGAUGAAAUACUCAUCUGAAGGCAUGAAUUUAUGGAGCAAGAUGGAAAAUUAAAUUGAUUAAAUUAUAAUUAUUAGUUUUACUAGUUUGGAAGAAGGAAUUAUUUUUAUGUUUGGAGUGAAGAUUAUUUUGAUGAAUUAGAUUUUAAUGAAAGGACUAGAAGGUAGAAUUAGUUCCAACUAUGAAGGAAAUUAAAGAAUAUAUCCAAGUGUCGAGAAGUCGAGCAUUUCGUACUUAAAGUUAAGAAUACUUGGUAGGAUGGUUGUUAAAUUGGUUAUCUUGUAUCAUAUUUCAGGAGAUGACGAGUCCAUUACUUGGUGAGUAGAUAUAAAAACUUAUUUUUCAGAAAUUAAUAUUUAUUAAAUUUAUGUUAGAUUAGAAAAUUUAUUAUUUCAAACAGUUAAUUUGACAGCAUGAUUUUUAGGAUAAAGUGGAUUUAUAGUCAAUUAUUUUAAAGUUAAUUUCAGUUCAGUUAAAUCAUUUUCUUAGCAUGUUACAUUCGUAUUAAAUAGUUCAGCAUAUUUAAAUUAUUUUCUAAAAAUCACCAGAAAGUACCCAGGUGAUUUUACCACAGUCUACACUGGUGUGAAUGUGUUUCCACAGUGUAUGACUAGUUAUGGUGAUUUUACCCGCUCUGCACUACUGUGAAUGUGUUUUCAUAGUGUAUGACCAAAUUAUUAGAUUAUCAAAGAUCUUUGGGACCCACUCUCAUACACACAUAGGCUUUGGGCCGUGUACUAGGGUGAUUAGCCUUUGGGACAGCUCCGCGACGUAUGAACAGAUUAUCAUAUUAUCAUAUUUGAGUGGCUUUGCCUUGUACAUCGAGAUUACUCUGUACAUGAGUAAGGCUAUUCAUUGGGUACCUUUUUGGUGGGAUUUUUCAGUAUUUCUACAGCUUAUUACAUUUCAGAUUAUAGAAUGCAGUUUUUAGAAUAGAGCUUUCAGCUUAUAGUAUUGAUCAGCAACAAUAUUUCAUAGAUUUUCACAGAUGUCAUAGUAUUUAUAUUCGUUACAUUUUACAGUUACUUAUUUAAAAUGAAGAACAAAGAAUUUUAUGAUGUAUUCAUGUUUGAUUGUAAAAACUGUUACCAGAUUUCAGAAUUUCUUAAAGUUUCAAUAGAGUAAGAAUUUUCAGAAAAAAUGUAUAAAUGAGAAAAGUAUACUUAUUUGCAAAUCAUCCACUCACUGAGUUACAAACUCAUGUUUUGCCACCCUUUUUCUGAGCAGAUAGUAGCAGAGUUGAGCAGUCUUGGAGCCUGUCAAUUCACCUAAUUGAGCCACACGUCAGUAGCUGUAUAGCCUACUUUAUCAGAUUAUUAUUUGAUAUCUUUAGUACGUUUGGGGACCUUUGGUUGUAGAGUAAAGUUAUUAUCGAUAUGCUCGUAUUCUAUUUGAAUAGUUUAGAUUUUAAGGGGCUGGUGUACCUUAUUUUAUAUUAUAUGUAUUGAUUUGAGGAAAAUUGGUAAUUUUUCAGG
RNAcentral lists this long non-coding RNA (1835 nucleotides) under Olea europaea (common olive). RNAcentral describes it as "long non-coding RNA (OEUR_LNC007510)". The record is from RNAcentral. Lineage: Eukaryota; Viridiplantae; Streptophyta; Magnoliopsida; Lamiales; Oleaceae.